UUGCAAAGAGUGGCGAACGGGUGAGUAACACGUGGGAAACCUACCUCUUAGCAGGGGAUAACAUUUGGAAACAGAUGCUAAUACCGUAUAACAAUAGCAACCGCAUGGUUGCUACUUAAAAGAUGGUUCUGCUAUCACUAAGAGAUGGUCCCGCGGUGCAUUAGUUAGUUGGUGAGGUAAUGGCUCACCAAGACGAUGAUGCAUAGCCCGAGUUGAGAGACUGAUCCGGCCAACAAGUGGGACUGAGACACCGGCCCAUACUCC
RNAcentral lists this ribosomal RNA (264 nucleotides) under uncultured Weissella sp. RNAcentral's name for it is "partial 16S ribosomal RNA". It matches the Rfam family "Bacterial small subunit ribosomal RNA", at positions 86 to 339 of the family's 1533-position model. The record is from RNAcentral. Lineage: Bacteria; Bacillati; Bacillota; Bacilli; Lactobacillales; Lactobacillaceae.